CCUAGUCCUGCGUUUGCUGGCCAAUUCAGAUAAUGACUAUUUGAUCCUGCUCUUUUUCUUUUCUCAUGGCAUGGUGGAAUUGCUAAUAGCAGUGAAGGGUUUCUUUUCGAGUUGAACUUGCAGUCACCCACUGUUCAACAUCUCCCCACGUUAAAUAUGGUUGUUACAGCACUGACAUUUGCAACUUGAAAAGUUAAAGUUGUAUUGGUGGCAUUUCUUUGGGAACAAGCAGGCUCAUUUACAGCAUGGGAUGAGGGGAACAGCUGGGUGCUUCGCUUCAGGACUAACUUGUGUACUCAUUUUCCAUCACCUCGCUGGCUAUUUUAAAAUUAACCUUGUGCAGCCUCAGAGAAGGAAGAAAAAGGUUUAAUUGCAUGACUAAUGAACGCUAGGGAUACAGCCAGGAUCUGCACACCUGCUGUGUUACAUACCAUUUCUGGAGUUCAGUGUAAUUAUUGCGUUAUUGCUAUCAUUUGUAUUAUGUUAAGAUACAGGAGCUCUCCUCCUGUACCAAAAUCCUGCUGUGCCAGGCAGGACAGCGAUGUACAACAAAACGAUCACCUGCAACCAAAAGGCAGAGGGCAGCUUUGCCAUGCCCACGUUUCCUGGCUGGAGCCCACUUCUCCCCUCCAGCAAAGCUGGCUCCUGCAGAGAGUGAGAGCACAGGGCUGAGGCCAUGCCUGAUUUGGACCAGCAGGACUCACAUAGGAGUUGCAGUGGACAACCAACAGUUAACCCUGGAAGGAAUGCCACUCUCAGUGUUAGAGCACCUAAUAACAUGCAUCCCUGUUAUGCCAAACCAUGUAUUCAAGAGAUAAAGUGGACAAAAUGAUGGAAUGGUGGAGAAAGAAAGCAUUCCCAGCUAGGUAGGACACCGAAUUUCAGGUGUCUGAAUGUGCAAUCAGAAGGUUCCCUGUGGGUUAGGAGCAGUCCAUGGCUUAGGAGCACUCCGUAUGUGCUGGUGAGGGUCACACAGGCUGCAAUUUGCAUUCUGAAACCUUGCAGCCAUGCAAUGCAUUCCCAAGGCUUGCAGGGAGCACAUUCAUGUGCUGGAGCAUCCUAGUGCACGAUGGGGCUGAACAUUUUGGAAGGAGAUGGGAUGCACCUGCUGAAGACUCUUCCAGCUACGUUCCAGCUACAUCUGCUGCACAGAAACAGCAGCUCGUGGAAUUGCCCUGCAUUCCUGCUGCAAGACCAAGUACACACAGACAGCAUGGGGAGCUUCAGAUGUUUCUGAUGCCAUGGCACAGUGACACUGUGCAGUAACAGAUGAAGAGGAGCAGGAAGAGGGGCACAGCACAGGGCAAUUAAAUGGGAGGAAACAUGAAUCCUUCACAGCUCACUGACCUCAGGAACCAUCUCCUGUCGGAGCUGUCAGGGCACACAUCCUUCUUGCUGCCCCAUUCUGCCACGUUAAAAAGACAUCACUGCUGCUGAAAACCAGUUCUGAGCCCAGGAGACUGCAGCACUACGGAGCUUCAGGGAAGGAAAGCAAACGGCCGCAGGAUCUCCCUGGAUGCUGCCUUAUCCCCACGGGCUCUGACCCUCCCGAGCUGCAAAACACAUCUGAAGGAGGGGAUUGGGUGAGCUCAGGAGUGGAUUUCUGCAGCAACUCCGUGAAGCUGAGAGCUUUUCUAGCAACACACAUUCUGGAUCCUCUCAGAAAGGUAUUCACCUCACCUGAAUUUGGAUGGUUUGAAGUUUAAUUUGUCAGACUGAGCUAGUUAACGUGCUUCUCUCUGUAGUUAAUGGAGAGAAAUAAGAGCUGCUAGAGGGCAAUUCCUCUGACCCGUUGUUAACACUUGUCUCAGCAUGAGAGAAAUAGCCCUCUGGAGAGGCUGCCUUCUGCACUGACUGUAAAGAGACAAAGAUGAGCAGCUCAAGCUCUCAAGCCCCAUUUUUUGACAAAUCCCAUAUGAAGUGCAGGUGGGACUGCCCAGCCAGCAGCACCCCCUGCUCACCUCAACACAACUCAAAGCCUCUCACCAGCUUAAAGACCCGGACUUGUCCUUCGAAAGCUCCAUGCUGAAGAGUUGCUAUUAUUUUUCACGUAGACUUCACUGGAUUUGAUUCCCCGAAGAGCAUCUGGGGAGCACUGGGGGAACAGAGAAGGGCUACAGCUCUGUGCUCAUCCCUACUGCUCCGGGGUGAAGGUGUGAGGAGCCCCAGCCCUGAGCAGAGCAUAUGGUGGGCACAACCCAACCUGUCCCCACCAGCGGCCCCAGCCCAAGGGAUGC
This 2237-nucleotide long non-coding RNA is filed under the name Gallus gallus (chicken). Its description in RNAcentral is "lncRNA (ENSGALG00010018178.1)". The record is from RNAcentral. Lineage: Eukaryota; Metazoa; Chordata; Aves; Galliformes; Phasianidae.